This 520-nucleotide ribosomal RNA is filed under the name uncultured Glomus. Its description in RNAcentral is "SSU rRNA". It matches the Rfam family "Eukaryotic small subunit ribosomal RNA", at positions 569 to 1092 of the family's 1831-position model. The record is from RNAcentral. Lineage: Eukaryota; Fungi; Glomeromycota; Glomeromycetes; Glomerales; Glomeraceae.
AGCAGCCGCGGUAAUUCCAGCUCCAAUAGCGUAUAUUAAAGUUGUUGCAGUUAAAAGCUCGUAGUUGAAUUUCGGGAUCGACGGGUCGGUCGCGCCUCUGGUGUGUACUGGCCCUGUCGGUUUCUCCCUUCUGAAGAACCGCGAUGUCAUUAAUUUGGUGUCGUGGGAAAUCAGGACUGUUACUUUGAAAAAAUUAGAGUGUUUAAAGCAGGCAUUCGCUUGAAUACAUUAGCAUGGAAUAAUGAAAUAGGACGUUUGAUCUUAUUUUGUUGGUUUCUAAGAUCGACGUAAUGAUUAAUAGGGAUAGUUGGGGGCAUUAGUAUUCAAUUGUCAGAGGUGAAAUUCUUGGAUUUAUUGAAGACUAACUACUGCGAAAGCAUUUGCCAAGGAUGUUUUCAUUAAUCAAGAACGAAAGUUAGGGGAUCGAAGACGAUCAGAUACCGUCGUAGUCUUAACCAUAAACUAUGCCGACUAGGGAUCGGAUGAUGUUAAUUUUUAAUGACUCAUUCGGCGCCUUACG